CUACGGGAGGCAGCAGUGAGGAAUAUUGCACGAUGGAGGAAACUCUGAUGCAGCAACGCCGCGUGGAGGAUGACGCAUUUCGGUGUGUAAACUCCUUUUAUAUGUCAAGAAAAUGACGGUAGCAUAUGAAUAAGCACCGGCUAACUCCGUGUCAGCAGCCGCGGUAAUACGGAGGGUGCAAGCGUUACUCGGAAUCACUGGGCGUAAAGGACGCGUAGGCGGGAUAUCAAGUCAGGUGUGAAAUCCUACAGCUUAACUGUAGAACUGCACUUGAAACUGGUAACCUAGAGUAUGGGAGGGGGAGAUGGAAUUAGUGGUGUAGGGGUAAAAUCCGUAGAUAUCACUAGGAAUACCUAAAGCGAAGGCGAUCUCCUGGAACAUAACUGACGCUAAGGCGUGAAAGCGUGGGGAGCAAACAGGAUUAGAUACCCCUGUAGUC
This 439-nucleotide ribosomal RNA is filed under the name uncultured bacterium. RNAcentral's name for it is "partial 16S ribosomal RNA". It matches the Rfam family "Bacterial small subunit ribosomal RNA", at positions 339 to 795 of the family's 1533-position model. The record is from RNAcentral.